AGCGUUGUUCGGAAUUACUGGGCGUAAAGCGUGCGCAGGCGGUUUCUCAAGUCAGGGGUGAAAGCCCGGAGCUCAACUCCGGAACUGCCCUUGAAACUGUGGAGCUAGAGUACGGUAGAGGUGAGUGGAAUUCCCAGUGUAG
This 142-nucleotide ribosomal RNA is filed under the name uncultured Alphaproteobacteria bacterium. RNAcentral describes it as "partial 16S ribosomal RNA". It matches the Rfam family "Bacterial small subunit ribosomal RNA", at positions 537 to 678 of the family's 1533-position model. Lineage: Bacteria; Pseudomonadati; Pseudomonadota; Alphaproteobacteria. The record is from RNAcentral.